Molecule: ribosomal RNA, 383 nt
Filed under: uncultured bacterium
Lineage: Bacteria
Description: bacterial SSU rRNA
Rfam family: Bacterial small subunit ribosomal RNA
Source: RNAcentral
AGCGAACGCUGGCGGCGUGCUUAACACAUGCAAGUCGAGUGCGUAGCCCUUUGUAGCAAUACAGAGGGUGGGCGCACGGCGCACGGGUGAGUAACACGUGGGUAACCUGCCCUUCGGUGGGGAAUAACCCCGCGAAAGCGGGGCUAAUUCCGCAUAACAUUCCGGGGACACAUGUUCUCGGACUCAAAGGAGUGAUUCGCCGGAGGAGGGGCCCGCGCCCGAUUAGCUUGUUGGUAGGGUAACGGCCACCAAGGCUUUGAUCGGUAGCCGGUCUGAGAGGAUGGCCGGCCACACUGGAACUGAGACACGGUCCAGACUCCUACGGGAGGCAGCAGUGGGGAAUCUUGCGCAAUGGGCGAAAGCCUGACGCAGCGACGCCGCGU